Molecule: long non-coding RNA, 470 nt
Organism: Glycine soja
Lineage: Eukaryota; Viridiplantae; Streptophyta; Magnoliopsida; Fabales; Fabaceae
Exons: 2
Source: RefSeq, a predicted model, not a curated record
UUGCAGUACUUUUGCAUGGUGAUGAGGAUCAAUAUUGAUUGUAAUGGCUGCUACAGAAAAGUGAAGAGAGCCCUUCUUGAUAUGCCAGAGUUGGAUACCCAUCUCCUAGAAAAGAAUCAGACAAGGGUAAUUGUGUGUGGAAGGUUCAUUCCACGGGAUGUUGCAAUCAUGAUAAGGAAAAAAACUAACCGUAGAGUGGAGAUAUUAGACAUACAAGACCUGAGUGAGAGCAAUGCUGAAAUGGAAGACCAGAAACCAAUGACCAAUAAUUGGACACUUCUAACUACUCAGAAUCAAAUGGAAACAUGUCUGGCUUGAGAGAAAGAAAGAAUAUUGUCUCAUAUUUCAUCCAUAUAUGUAUCCACAAGUGAGUAUGUGACUUGUACCAUUUUUUUUAAGUAUUCCUCACUACUAAUCAUUGUAAUAAUUCUAGACAUUACUAACUUAUAAUUGCAUCUAUUUCUGUGUUU